RNAcentral lists this ribosomal RNA (429 nucleotides) under Bacteroidota bacterium. Its description in RNAcentral is "Bacteroidetes bacterium partial 16S ribosomal RNA". It matches the Rfam family "Bacterial small subunit ribosomal RNA", at positions 355 to 776 of the family's 1533-position model. The record is from RNAcentral. Lineage: Bacteria; Pseudomonadati; Bacteroidota.
UAGGGAAUCUUCCGCAAUGGACGCAAGUCUGACGGAGCAACGCCGCGUGAGUGAAGAAGGAUUUCGGUUCGUAAAACUCUGUUGUUAGAGAAGAACAGCGCAUAGAGUAACUGUUAUGCGUGUGACGGUAUAUAACCAGAAAGCCACGGCUAACUACGUGCCAGCAGCCGCGGUAAUACGUAGGUGGCAAGCGUUGUCAGGAUUUAUUGGGCGUAAAGCGAGCGCAGGCGGUCAAUUAAGUCUGAUGUGAAAGCCCCCGGCUCAACCGGGUAGAGUCAUUUGAAACUGGUUGCCUUGAGUGCAGAAUAGGAGAUUUGUAUUCCGUGUUUAGCUAUGAAAUGCGUAGAUAUAUGGAGCAACCCCAGUGGCGAAGGCUACUCUCUGGUCUGUAACUGACGCUGAUGCUCGAAAGCGUGGGUAGCACACAGG